Molecule: long non-coding RNA, 288 nt
Filed under: Gallus gallus (chicken)
Lineage: Eukaryota; Metazoa; Chordata; Aves; Galliformes; Phasianidae
Source: RNAcentral
UUCCCAUUUCCUGACAGAACAUCAGACAAAUCAAUUUCAUCCGAUUGAACACCAAUGCUGCUGUUGUAUACAUUUUUACAUGAGGAGCCACUUAUUUCCAAAUCAAAGAGAACUGGAUCAAAAGGUGAACUGUAUAAUCCAUAUCUUGUUUGUAGUAAUGCUUCCAUAGGUGUCAGGCGAUCCUGCAGCUGUCGGGACACAGCAGUUAACAACGAUGCACAAGCUGUACUACAUCCUGCCAAAUCUUCAUCCUUUACAUAAUUCAGCAAUACAAAAUACCAAUACACU